AAAAUUCGAUUCAAAGUUUUUCAUUGGAUUAAAGAAGGUGGGUCCCAACUGUAAGUGUCCUCCUCUUCCUUUUCUUUCCCUUCUUCUCUUCCUCUUUCUCUCUCUUUCUUAUCUCCUUCUCUGCUCUCUUCUCCCCUUUCUUCUCGAUUCUCCAUGCCAGAGGGGAAGGGGCGGGCAUGGCACACGGCGGGGUGGCGGCCUGGCAAGGGGCGCGGCGGCAGGGUGGCGGCCUAGCACGGCGGGGUGCCGGCCUGGCGCGGCGGGAGUGGCACAACGCGGCGGGCGAGACGGCCGGCGCCCUCCCCCUCCCAGAUCCAGCGGCGGCGGGCUAGGGAGGGGCCGGUCGUGGCCGGGAGCGGCAGCGGCGGCGGGCGGGAGCUGCGCGGCGCGGCGUGAGCGGCAUGGCAGCGGCGGGGGAUCUCCGGAGGCUCUGACAACAACGAUGGGAGGGGCGGCUCUGGUGGCGGCGGCGGCGAGCAAUGGCGACGGCGACAACGAGGACAAGGACGGCUGUUGAGGCUUCGAGCGACGUCGACAGCGACGAGGAUGGCGUCGCCGGCGUCCGGAUAGUUUCCAACCGCAACCGAAUCCGAGUUCUGACGGAUACCAUCGCUACUGUAUUCGAAUCCGUUUCCAAGAAAAACUAUCCGAAUUCGUAUCCGAAUCCGAAAAUAUCCGAAAAAAAUCCGACCGAAGCGAUCCGUAUCCGAAAACACG
This is a non-coding RNA of Oryza sativa Japonica Group (Japanese rice), 717 nucleotides long. NCBI's taxonomy places the organism in Eukaryota, Viridiplantae, Streptophyta, Magnoliopsida, Poales, Poaceae. The record is from RefSeq and is a predicted model, not a curated record.